This is a long non-coding RNA of Myotis lucifugus (little brown bat), 285 nucleotides long. RefSeq lists it as uncharacterized. The record is from RefSeq and is a predicted model, not a curated record. Lineage: Eukaryota; Metazoa; Chordata; Mammalia; Chiroptera; Vespertilionidae. The transcript is spliced from 3 exons.
GACCCGCACCGCCGAGACCCUCUUGUCAGUUCAAGGGCAGGACAGAAACUCUGCAAGCGGAGUCUUGCGAACAGGAAAUUUCUCAUUGACAAGUAAUGAUUUGAGGCUGCUUCCGCGAUACCCGAAACCCAGCACAGAGCAACGGAAGAAGUGGGACAUGAAUUAUAAUGUCACGCCUGCUCACAUCUUUGCCCCCGUCCACAUAAUGGAACUGAAUUCAUAACGCCUUUCAGAAAUGAGGGAGGAAGGGAGAAGGAGAGCGAGAUAAAAACAUCAAUGAUGAGA